Apis florea (little honeybee) is the source of this 806-nucleotide long non-coding RNA. Lineage: Eukaryota; Metazoa; Arthropoda; Insecta; Hymenoptera; Apidae. The record is from RefSeq and is a predicted model, not a curated record.
CCAUGCGGAAACGAGCCACGUGCCGUUAAACAGCGCGCGCUCAUGAUACACAGUUCCGCGAAACUCGGUCGGCCGGAUGCUGAGCGACGUAGGGCGUAGGCCGGAUUUCGCUUCGAGAAUCCGAUUGCACUCCGGUGCUUGUAAUUAGUGGAGUGCGUACCAACGCAUGCUUUAUCGUCAUUACGUUACGAAUAUAGAGGUGGUCUGCACCCUUUGCUCAUUUUUUUCGGAUCUUCUCCUUACUCAAUUCUCGCCGAUUCGGUUCGUCUCUCUUCAUCUAUAGAUUUGUUAUUUAUUAUGCGAUGAGUCCUCGCCAACUUUAUCUCGAACAUCCGGAUGCGCAUGUUAUCUUGAGAUUGAAGCCGGAAAUGAAUUGAAGCUCGUUUUUUGCCUCGGAAUUUCUCAUGUUUCUACUAUUCGUUUCUCUUGGAUUGCAUUCUCUUUCGAAGUGGAGUUCAUUUGAAUGAAAUGAAUCGAGGAAAGAAUAGUCGACGAUGCCCGUAAUUUUUGCCCACAAGUAAGAAAUCAAUACUCUGAUACGGUUAUAAAUCCACAAGAUGGCGACAGAACGCGCGUAUCGUGUUUGAUCUUUCGCGCAUGGAAGUGGUGGAAUGAAGGCAGCGGAGGGGCGAUUCGUUCGAGGAACAAAUAAAAAACGCGAGAUCGACCUCGUGCCGAUAGAUAAGUUAUCUUCGUGUAAAAGUAUCCAGAAAAGUAAUGCGAUGUGAAUUCAAUUUUUGCUACGAACGGUUUCAAUUUCAUAGAAUUGCCAUCUUGAAUUCGAAAGAGAUAAACUCGAUGUUAUA